Molecule: long non-coding RNA, 30145 nt
Filed under: Setaria viridis
Lineage: Eukaryota; Viridiplantae; Streptophyta; Magnoliopsida; Poales; Poaceae
Description: long non-coding RNA (SVIR_LNC011242)
Source: RNAcentral
UUUUUUUUUUUCAUGUAAAUGGUCCAAAUUGGGCCAAUUUUCUGCGAAAUUACGGUAUACUCUAGAAACAUAGCUACAUGUGAAUACGGUCUAAUUAUGAGGUAUGAUCAAUGAUAAUGAUGUUAUCUUCCUUCUAAUAUUAAGGAUAAACGGGGUGAGAGGGUAUCACUGAGGAAUCAACAUCAACAACAUGAUAGUUUAACCACCACUUUUUAUACAAGUUCCCCCCAGCUAUGUUCUUCUUGUGAAUUAGCUAAACAAUCAACACCAUUUGAUAAUGGCACGAAGAAACGAUGGCACACCCAACUUGAACCACCAUGGACACAAUUGCUCAUUCAAGGUAAAUGGUUAAAGCUAUUACACUUGAAUGAAGAUGAUGCACUGCUAACUACUCUAGAUUAGAAAAGAUUAUAAGCAUAUAUUUGGACGAGAGAUUGGUGCUUGAUGGGCUCUACCUCCACAUGCUUAACAUCAUGGGCGGAGGGGAUGGCGACUAUUGUCCCUAGCUGGUUGUGGAGUGAAAUAGCAUGAGGGUGAAGGGCACACGUUGGCUAGCGAUGGUAGAGGAUCAUUGCGGACACCCGGAGCGCACUAUUAUGUGGAAAUGAAGAAGAUUGGAGAUUUGGUGUGUCUGAUGCGGUGACGCACCCCUUCGACAAUGAAGGAGGUUAAUUGCCACCUUAAGAUAACGUGACAAUUAACACCUCUAAAAAUCUCUAAUUCACUAAGAAAAUUUUUCUAAAAUGUUAUUUAAAUCAAAUAGAUAUAUAACUCUUACAAAUAAUAUAGAAAUCAUAUAAAACUUGAUACUUCUAAAGAUGUUUCUAGAUAAAAGAUUUAUACACAAAAGAUAUUUUCCAUGCUACAUAAAAAUGAUAGUGUAUAUAUUUCAAAAAUGGUUAUAUAAGAGUAUUAGUAACUUUUUUAUAUUUUUGGUAGGAUAAUUAUAUUAUGAUUGAUUAUUAAAUAUUAACAGAACCAACUGAUAAACACUUUUCCAUUGUUGAAGUCUAGAAGUGAGCAUGACAUUUGUUGAGAUGUGUUGUGACAUAUUUGAAGAGAGAGCGGAGUUAGAAAGCACAGAAAUCCUAAAAAUCUCAUGAACUCUGACAACUUGGAAUGUAUAUUGGGAUUGUGUUCUCUUAAGUGUUUAGGAUUGUUAGUUUUUCAAUGGAUUGCUAAGAAAUAUUUAUUUCUAUUUGUUAAAAAUUGUUGAUUGAUCUUGAUGACCAAAACUAGCUUAGACAAAGGAUCUAGAUAGAGUUAAGUGUUGUUAGUUGUUGUUUGAUUGAAAGUCAUUUGUAUAAUGUAGUCAAUCGAUAAAAAAUGAUAUUUUGCAUCCACAUGGUAGUAAUUGAUAGACAUCAUUGUUCAUCUUGUCUGGCAUGAAAAAAAUGAUCCAGUACAAGCUGCAGAUAAGUUUCAUUUCCCACAUAGUACGAUUUAGCAUAUCGUGGUGGUUAGGCAUGGAGCAUCUGGGAAGUUUAAUGCUUGCCAUGAUGAACUAGAUGGUACUUGGAAUAUUUUUCACUUAAAAAACUCAUGACUUUUCUUUGGAACAAAAAGGAAAAAUGAAGUGCUCUAAGUGUUUAAGUUUACAGCUCAAAAAUUUCUCUUGUGCGAUAGGCCAACGCCGCCUUUGCCAGCGAAGCCAUUGUGUUGCGCCUCAAGCUCUCAGUCCCAGGUGGAAGCCAAACUACUGUAAAAUCUAUGAGCAUAAAAGGAGAAAGGAAAAUAUACUCCCUCCAUCCUUUAACAAUUUUAAGGUAGGACAAAGUAUGAAACCAAACCUUGGUUGGCUGGUCACAAAUGUGGCAUGCAAGUAAUAAAGUAUUGUAUUUGAGGUCAAACUUAAUUUUUAACCCGUGAGAACAUGCUUGACUUUAGAGUUCAGAGAAUAAAAUGCAAAGAACAUGCUAGAAUUUAGAGUUCAAAGUCUCGAUAGAACAAAUGGGCAGGCACUUGAAAGUCGGAGGUCACCCUGUACUCUCAUUGCUGAGCAACAUGAAGGGCGGUGAAGAGGCUUCCAGCUACAGCCAUCGUUUUUCGAGGAAAAGUUGAUGAAGGUCUCCUGUCCCUAGCGUAGCAUCAUCCUCAUGUGGGUACGCUGCUACCCACGGUGGCAUGCCAAUAUUUCCGAUAUUUAGAAACAAAAUAUGAAUAUUAUGUAUGAUCUUUUUUAAUGGAGAUCAUCUGCAUUCUCCUGUAUGUUUAUAAUUGUUAAUUUUUUGGUGGAUAUUUAGUUAAUCUUUAUUUCUAUUUGAAAUAAUUAUUGACUUGCUUAGAAAAAAUAUAGUAGAAUGGUAUAUAUUUAGAAACAAACAUAAAUCCAUUUGGAAAAUCUUGUAUUUGCUGCUAAAGUAACGACAUCUGCCUACGGGUGUACACAUUUCCCCUCAUCCUCUCUAGAAACCAUAAUAAUACAAUAAUUAGAGAGCUGUGAUGGAGUUCUACGUGGUUAGCAAUUGUUUUUAUAAUCGAAGGGAAUCAAAGAAAACAACAUUUCUUAAUUUUUCUUUGGGUCAGUCUACACAUGCAGAUUUAGAUGGUUAAAUCUUUGAAAAUCUUGGUCCAUUUGAUCAAGAUCUAGCAUAUCUCCAUCCCCCCAUCUGACACCACUCAAACCCAACGCCUGCCAGCCAUCUCACCGCGGCCAAGUGAUGUCUAGGCUACCCCGCUCUACACUUGCCACCACCGUCGGGUCCAUGACCUCCCCCACCAUCCCUAGCCCCUAACAAGGCCAAAACCUUAUUCCUAAAGUGUCACUGGAAUAGAUGAAGUUCGUGAGAUAUGGAGAAUUUCAAUAUGAAUCUGUUCACAAAACCGUGAGGUAAGAAAUUCGACAGAUUUCCUUAUGAAAUUAGGGUAUAGUUAAAUAGCACAAUUCCGUUUCUUUCCAGGAACAGGAAGUCAUAUGAUCAGCAGGUGAUUGAAAUCUGACUCAGCGUGAUGAAUAUCUGGGAGAUCGCACGCACGAUGCUACUGAUUUCUUCAGAAGGACAAGAAAUCUGUGCGGUUGUUUAAUCUUUACACACACCAUGAUUAGGUGCUGGCGAGUGGCAGCAGCUACCUGGGUCUGUUCAUUUUCUGCUCGUCCUGAUUGGAAUCCUCUCCGGAGUAUGGUACAUUAAUCAGAGAGCUUUGAUUGACUCUAACCUGAGAAAUUGUAUUAUUGGGAACUAAAAUUUCCUACUUCCUAGCUGAUCUCCUCCACUCAUCCGGCACAAGUGGAGCUUGGCAAGGUUCAACAAAAAAAAAAAAAAAAAAGCAGGAGCUGACUACAACGACCUGUCUUUUUGUACUUGACACUCGAGUUUGUUAGGAAUAUAUAUAAUUGCUCUUAUAUGUUGACAUCUUGCCUGCUAUAUGUUGGCUAUGUGAUGGGAGGACGCUAUGUAUUCAAAUGCCACUUGGACUUUUUUAAAUAGAAUCUUACAGGUUUGGUUGCAUUUGCUGCUUAGGUACUCAAAUUUCAAGUCUUUCUUGACCUGCAUUGGUUAUUCUAGUGCGCUGUCUUGACCUGGAUGUAUCCAACUGGCUACAUCUGUAUACAACACUAUAAUGUGCUUACACUAACAGAUUUUUUUCUAAAAGGAUUGGACACAAGAUGCUGGAUACUAAUAUCCAUAAUUUGAAGAUGUCUCUGUCGGUAUGAUUUAUAAGAAUUUUUUCUGCAUCUGCAUCUCUUGCAUGAUAAAGCUUGAAGCUUGCUUGCAUUAUAGGUUUAAGAAGCCUCCUUUUUAGCAUUGUUACGGGGGAAAUGGAUCUACUCAUGGACUGCCACAAAGUCAAUUCUCCUCUAGCGGCAUAAACAACAUCUCCAGUUCCAACUUGUUAGUCUUUGACUGGCGUAGAUACAUGAUUUGGUGUCAGUCUCAUGGUUUACUGCUAAUAAGGAUCACGUCAGCCUUGUGAAAGCAUAUAUCUCUGCAUAUAUCUCAUUUGCAAGAUGGAUCUGUUACUUAUGAUUGUGCUCUUGUACUACUUUAUUACUCGAGAGUUGUAAACAACUCCGUGAUGACUGGUGCGUGCACUCCAGCUGGUUCAUGGACAGAAAGACAUGUGCAUGCUUCAGGUAAACAUCGUCGGCGAUGACGAUGGAUGAACUGGAGUGGAGCCAGCCUCUGAUGAAGAUUUACAUGUCAACUAAAAAUGAACAGGAGAAAACCAGCAAAUCCGUAACCAUAUUUGCAUUGCCAUGACAGAAGUAUUUCCAUGAGGCUCAAAAACUUAAUUGUAUACUGUAUGUACAGUACAGAGAGCACUUCCCAUCAACCAGAUGACAACUAAUAACUCUAAAUGUACAGUUGCUGAUUGCUGUCAAAUUCAUCAAACCACGCGCAAUCGCUCUACCUCUACCUAUAGGAUCGCUGGAAUGAACAACAAUGCUGGCUUCACCGCUGCGACGUCGCCGCGCCGGCCGUCGAGACCUGGAAGACCUCCGGGUUCCAGUCGCCGGCCGCGACGUCGCCGUCGAUGACGAACCCAGCGAACGUGAGGCUGUGCGCGUAGUACUUCUCCACGUUACCGUCCUGCACCACCACCACCUCCACCUCCCCGUCGCCGGUAUGCAAUGGCACCACCCUCCGGUGGCCCUCCGGCUCGCUCCGCCGCCGCGACCCCGACAGAGCCCGGAACAGCCCCGACCACCGCCGGCUCUGGCGCGCGGUCGACAUUGUCCGUAGUGCCGCCGCCGGCGUCAACCGCCCGCUUGAGGCGCUCGGCAACGCGGUCGAAGCGGUCACCGCGCUCAUUGCCCGGCGGAGCCGCCUCGCCUCGUCGAUCUCCCGUCUGAGCCUCUCCGGCAGCCGCAGCGUGUACCGGUCCACCCGCUCCUCCGCCGUCUCCGCUGGCUGCUCGUCGGACGAUGUGGGGCCCCGUUCUGGCGUUGACUCGGACGGCUCGAUGUCGAUGUUGAUAAUCGUGUCGGUGGGCGCUUCUGCCUGGGCUGCGAGGUCAGCGGCCAGGACGUGGCCGGCGUCCGCGACGGCCGGGUCGGAGAGGUCGGCGCGGCAGACGGGGCAGGUGACGUGCGCGGCGAGCCACACGUCGAUGCAGGCGGCGUGGAACACGUGGCAGCACCCGGGGAGGAGGCGGAGCUUCUCGCCGGCGUCGUCGAACUCGGAGAGGCAGACCGCGCACUCGAGCGCCCCGCGGCCGGCCUUGACCGCCCGCGCCGUCGCGUACGUGAGCACGGGGAGCGCCUCCAUCGCCGCGGCGUCGAGCCCCACGGCGGCGCGCCUCCUGCCGCCGCCGACGCUGGCCGCCGACGCGAACGCUGCCGCCGCCGCUGCCGCGACGGCUGCGUUGGCGCUCAGGGCGCGUCGCCGCGCGGCGUCCGUGGCCGUGGCGGCGUCGGAGCAGCGGCGGAGGUAGGCCGAGAAGAAGGCGAGUAGGAAGAGCGCGGCGAUGAGGCUGACGAAGAGGAGCGACGUGGUGAGGCUGAACCUUCCUCCUCCACCGCCGCCGCCUCCAGCGUCGGCGGGCGGCGACGGCGGCGAGAACGCGGCGGAUAAGGUGGCGCCGGGAGGCGGCUGGAGGAGCUGCGACGUGACCGGCCGGAGCAUGGCGAGCACGAGGGCCAGUGGCCGGAGGAAUGUGCCGUGGCGGUGGGGCCACGUGGUAGCCGGCGGCGCGGGCGCCAUGGAAGCUUCGGGAGAGGGGAGGUGGGGCGCGGUGCGGUGGGAAGUGGGGCGGUGUGCGCGUGACGACGGCGAUGUGAUGGAAAAACAAAUGGAGAGGCGGCCAGGCGGGAGGAGAGCUGGAGACGUGCGAGGGGAGAGCCGGAGAGUGACGUGAGGACGAGUAGGGAGGGGUCCCUGGGUCAGAGCUUUCAUUUGAGGCCAACCAUAGAAUAGAGUAUAUAUACGAAGAGGGGUGAGUAUCAAAUCCAUGGUGUGUGUGGGUCUGCGUUUGACAUUGUUAAUGCAGGAGGACGCCAGAGAGCUCAAUGCAGACAUGUGUGGUUAGGCCAAAGUCAAACCCCACAUCCCGGGGUUGGUGAUGAGCCGGCCGCGUGGUAGAUGGGAAAGCUUUUCGCGGGCACCAAACUUUCAUUCUCGCACAUUGUCCUCACAUCAUCAGGCGGCAGAGCAAUGUUUGUGUUAGGGGCUAUUGCGAGAUUUUCCAACACUUUGAUAUUAUUUGAGUAAAUUUCAUGAUCGACCUUUAAAUUAUUGAGCGAUUCUCAUCCAGAUCCUCAUAAUAAAAUUGCCCAGUGAAGCUCGAGCGCGUCCAACCACAUGCGGCCUACUUUAGAGCGCACCCUGCUCGAGCUCGUCACCUCACCCCUCUGCGGCCGCGUCGAAGGCUUCCUCGCUCGAGCGCGCCAGAGGCAAUCGCUCUUGGUGGCGGCUUCUCAUGCGCCUGGCGGGCGCAUGGCAUUGCUGGCGACGUUGCUGGCCUUGGGGAAGGUGGGGCAUGGCUCAGUUGCAGCCUUCGGCAGGCGGAAGUGGCGGCGAGCACAGUCAGCGGAGGCGUUAGGCCAGGGUUUGGCGACAGCUAUUGUGCUUGCCCAUGGGGGGUGGCUUGGGCGCCGACGGUGGCGGCGGGGCGGCGGAUCGGGAUGGUGGGUACCUGGAUGGAGGAAGGGAGCACCGGGGAGGGGUUGCUCUCCGGCAACGAACAGCUGGGCAAGGAGAGGUGCAUGCCGGCAACGCCAUGGAGGGAGGAGGGGGAGGGAGGAGGGGCUGACAUGCGGGUCCCACAUGCUAGGAUCCAUGUUGUUGCACAAUUAGCAUGCCAUCUCAGCUUAUGGGGUGUGGUGUGGUGGCUGGUUUUGGAUCUAGAUGGUCAGCUUAAAUAGUUUACAGAUUCUAAAAUGGAAUUUCAUAGUAUGGAAUUCUAAAUGAGAAUCGCACAAUAGUUUAAGGACCGGCUAUGAAAUUUACUCAUAUUAUUUUUAACCCUUUCAUUUUUAGAUGAGCGGCUCAUAUUAGAACUACUUUGCGCAUGAAUUUCAAAUUUAAAUCGAUGGUACAUGAAAAUUAGAAGUGAACUCAUGAAUAAAUUUAAAACCCAUAGCUAAUCGAAAUUGCUUAUUUUUCUCUGUUUUGGCUUAUUUUGUAGCAUAAUACCCAUACACACACACACACAUACCCUAUAUUUCCCAAUUGCAUUGCACCAUCCUAUUUCUUUAAUAUGUGUUUGAUUGAAACCAUAACUUGAGCUAUUUCAGCUCUUAUGCCAUGACUUGAUUUGGGACUCUAAUUUUGACCUCAUCAGCUGCUGUUUUUAAAAAAACGAUGGAUAUUACCAUUAAUAAUGAUUAGACUUUACCAAGUUGGUUGUAGGAUGUUUCUGAUUUUUGCCACAGCACUGGAAUGAGUAUUUUCUGAGUAAGAUUUUUUUGGGGGGUGCUAUAGUUCCCUCGCGAUGGAUCAUCAGUUCUGCUGAGGGCCUGAGAGUGAGAAGCGGCAGUAGGAGAGUGACCUUGGGCACCACAGCCGCUGUAGCGCCAGGUGUGCCCUGACGCGUACUCAUGCGCGCGGGGCGUCCCCUUUCUGCGAGCGGCACCACAGGGCACCUGGCCUUGGUGGCGCCGUGCCGGUCGACGUCACCUGCAGCUCCACUACUGUGUACCCAUGAUGGGCCGUACGCACGCACACCAGGACCAGGUAACGUCGUCGUCGCGGCUGUCCUGCGCCUCCGCCGUCCCGGCCCGGUGGGUCAUGCCGAUCAUGUGCGUGGAGGCUGCGAGCACGCCACGCGACGCCGCUUUCCGGCCGCCACGCGUCGUGGCGUCGCACCAUGUACGGAGGCGUCAGAUCCAUCGGAGACGCCUGCACGGCUGCACGAGUGGAGCUUGCUUGUGCGCACGGGCCAUGAAGAUUGAGGAGGCAAGCAGGCGAUCGGGCUGGCUCAGCUCUAGGGCAAGUUUUCAGGUCCCAACGAAGUUUGCGGCUGCUCGUGACGUUCAAUGGAUCUUGUUGUAUAGCAAAGUACAACUCGUGUUCAUCAUGUAUGACCUCCGAUCACGUUGUACACUACGACGAGGAGCUUCCCCUGGCAUCCCCCUGUGUGGAUACCGGUGCGUGGGUCGUCGGGUCAGGACAGGACGCGAGCGUCUUGCCGGAGCGACGAGCCGACGAGCUAGUACGUAGCCGGUACGGUGUACUUAACGUGUGUACGUGUCCGGUCCGAAGGCGCGGGCCGGUGGUGUCGUCGUCCGAGGGGCGCGCGUACGAACGGAGUACGUACGUGCCGGAGCGACGACGGAUCGAUCGUCGGAGGCGGGCAGGCAACAAACGUCGUCGUCGUCGUACCGCCCCCUCUCCCCGUACGCGAGAUCUCCCGUCUCCGCAGGAUCGUGCGUGCGCCGUGCAACGCCACUCGUACGCGGUGGUGGUGGCGGCGCGCGGGAUCGGAGACUUUGGUAUGUGGACGCCGAGAACGCGGGCACCGGCUCCGGGGUGAAUCACACCGCGCGCUUGGCGCGUGCCGCGUGCGCCCAGACGACGACGACAUGUAUGGGGAUCGGGACGACAGGGACCGUCGCAAACACUGGCAAGGCUGCCGCCGACCCAAAACUUGCAAAACAUGGUUUGGGCCCAACAAACAGUUUUUGGGCCGUUGCUCCGAGUGCAACCUUAAGUGGCCCAUAUAUCUUCCUCCCUCUUAUACAAAAUCUAGAGCGCGCUCGCUCUCUGGAAAGUCUAGCUAGGCCCCUCCUCUAUGUACUUAACUGCUCGUCGGAACGUGCUACCAGCUUAUUACACGUACGCAUGGGCACGUACGUCCGCACGUGCCGCGCGCUCUGCACAGCUGCGCCACCGAGCUGUACUCGAGGUGAGGUGAGACAGAGGUGAAGCCCGGAGACGGACUGGACGCUUCUAGCCGGCCGGCCACGUACGUGCGCACGUGUAAUAAGCUGAUCCAUCAAUCGGCACGCGUCCUUUUUCUACGCCACCGAUCGACAACGGUUGCAUCGCCACCACCACUUUUCACCGCAGCUACUGGGUAGCCUCGAUCGCUUCCGUCUCCAUCCAUCAAUUGCUGGCUUGCUGCACGACACCAGCAAACUCGGCUCGCGGUACUGUAGCAUCUCUCGAUCGAUCGAUCCAGCCCGCCAUGGGACAAGGCAAGGAGGUGAAGACCCGGCCCGACCCCAAAGUGGAGAUCCAGGUGCGCCAGCCUGCUGUGAGCCUGUGACCUGUAAUUCGGUCUCGUUCCGUUGCGAUUCUUCCGUGACCGGUGGCAUGCAUGGCCGCAGGAGAAAGGCGAAAUCUUCUUCUUCUACAGGCCCAAGGUGGGCAAGGACGAGGCGCGCGGCCCCGACGACGUCCAGCGCAUGUACAUCGUCCUGCGCCCGGAGUCCGGCGACCGCGCCGUCGAGGAGAAGCAGGCGCCCGACUCCGGCAAGGAGGGCCGCAAGCACCACCACCAGGACGACGGCGACCGAGGAGGAUCCGGAGGAGGGGCGAGCAAGAAGGAAGGCCACGAAGGCGGCCAUGGCAAGGAGGUAUGUAAACGGCUAGAACACGCCAUGACGAUUUAGUUUCUGCGGCACGUGGUUGCAUUGCAUCUCGAUUGGUCGCGCAGGAGGUUAACAUCGAGGAGCAGCCGCUGCUCCGGCUGGUGGUCAUGGGGAGGAAGAGCCUGCCGGACCCGGCCAAGCACAGCCUCCCGUACUGGGGGUACGUCGAGCUCGUCACCACCAAGGUCCAGGACAUCAAGGACGCGCUCAAGGAAGGUAUGAAAUACUGUGCUUGUAUAAGAGUGUAAGACGGUGUCAAAUGACAGAAAAAUCUGAAGCUUUUACUCUGCUCGGUUGUGGCAUGCAGAGGAGUACAGCACGGCGACGCGGGGCCAGCGCCGCAGGCCGGCAGCGCGUGCGCUGGGCGAGGGCGUGUACCGUAUCCUGAGGCACGAGCCGGGCGGGCGGCGCUCCCCGCACACCCACCUCGUGUACAAGCUGGAGCUCCCGACCCGCGGCGACGGGGAGCCGCAGGAGGCGAUGAACGUGGAGCCGGAGGCGUCGUUCCUCGUGCAGGUGAAGAACCCCGACCCGCCCUCCGGCGGCCGCGGCGGCGGGUUCCGCGGGCUGCAGAGCAAGCGCCGCGCGGCGUUCCCGGCGCACCUGCAGGGCGCGUUCGGGAGCCGGCGGUUCGCGCCGGCGGACCCGCCGGACCUGCUCAACUACGAGGGGUGCGAGCUGCUGCUCAUCGCGGCGUCGGACGAUGUCGAGGAGGAGCUCGGGCUGGAGCUGGAGGGGGAGGCGGAGGGAGAGGAGGGGGAGGGUAGCCAGGGGGAGGAGCAGCGGGCGGCCGGGUGCUCGGACCUGGUUAAGAUGUUCGGCGAGGUGGCCGACGUGAAGCCGCUGCUGAGCGGGAGCUGGGACUAGGCCGGCCACGCGACCACUGACGUGGUGUCAUUGUGCGCGUGCGCUCGUUCCAGCCUUUUGUCUUUGAUCAAUGGAGAUGGCGCUUUUGUUGCUCUCCAUAGUUAGGAAGGAGGUCGUUGUCGUAGGAAGGUGUUUAAUGAGCUUGCUGCAGUUUUAGUUGUUUGGAUGUACUAACUGCUUACUGCUAUUUAGCAUGGCAGUGUAAAGUUGGGUUCAAGCUUAAAGUUGGAACCGAAUUACCGUGUUUCGAGUGGUUAUGACCACAACUACAUGAGAGAUGCAUUAUCCCGUAGUGAUCAAGCCCGUUGAAAUUGAAACAACGCCGCUAGUGUGAAUGUGAACUUCGCUGAAGUCUCCAAUAUGGAACCGACGUCGGCCGCCACCAAUGUAAGCCGGCCGGAAAUGUUAAGGGCUGUUCUAGCCGUGUGGAGGGUUUCUUCCUCUUUCAAAACAGUUUCCAAAAGGGUUUCGGCUCCGGUCGCCAAAUGCACCGUCAUCAUCUUGACCGCUCCUGUACCAACAAAUGCACCGUCAUCAUCUUGAUACCAACAAAUGCACCGUCAUCAUCUUGACCGCUCCUGUACUGAUGACCGCUCCUGUACCAACAAAUGCACCGUCAUCAUCUUGACCGCUCCUGUACAACUCGUCACUGCUCGUCCCCGCUUCUCCACAACUCGUCACUGCUCGUCCCCGCUUCUCCACAACUCGUCACUGCUCGUCCCCGCUUCUCCACAACUCGUGUCAUCAUCUUGACCGCUUCUGUACUAACAAAUGCACCGUCAUCAUCUUGACUGCUCCUGUACAACUCGUCACUGCUCGUCCCCGCUUCUCCACAACUCGUCACUCGUCACUGCUCGUCCCCGCUUCUCCACAACUCGUCACUGCUCACUUCACCUCUCCACAACUCGUCGUCACUGCUCGUCCCCGCCUCUCCACAACUCGUAGUGGCUCACUUCGCCUCUCCACAACUCGUCAUCACUGCUCGUCCCCGCCUCUCCACAACUCGUCACUGCUCACUUCGCCUCUCCACAACUCGUCGUCACUGCUCGUCCCCGCCUCUCCACAACUCGUCACUGCUCACUUCGCCUCUCCACAACUCGUCACUGCUCACUUCGCCUCUCCACAACUCAUCACACUGUUCGUCCCCACCUCUCCACAGUCCAAUGUACCAACUCGUCACUGCUCGUUCCCACCUCUCCACAGUCCAAUCCGACUCCGGUCGCGGUCACCAUCUUGACCGCUCCUGUUACAACUCGUCGCUGCUCGUCCCCGCCUCUCCACAGUCCAAUCGGCUGUCCACCACCACCCCAGCCCCCGCCCCUCCACAGCCCAAUCGGCUGUCCACCACCACUCUGGCGCCGCCGCCGCCCACCUCACCGCUAUCUCAACCGCCACCACCGCUUGCUACCCUGCCCACCUCAACCGCUCCCACAUGAACUCGUCGUUGUUCGUCCCCAUCCCUCCACAGCCCAAUCGGCUGUCUACCAUCACCUCGUCAGGCGGUGCCACCACCGUCCCACCUUGCCGCUAUCUCGACCGCCACCACCGCCCGCUACCAUGUCAUCCUUGUUUUGCGGAGAGGAGACUGCCACCUCCCGCUACCCUAUCAUCCUUGUUUCGCGGAGAGGAAACGCUCCCCUGAGGAGCUAGGCUCCCACAUCAACUCGUCGUUGUUCGUCUCCAUCCCUCCACAGUCCAAUCGGCUGUCCACCAUCACCCCGGCAGACGGUGCCACCACCACCCUACCUUGCCGCUGUCUCGAUCGCCACCACCACCCGCUACCCUGUCAUCCCUGUUUUGCGGAGAGGAGACCGCCACCAGUACCUGCUACCCUAUCAUCCCUGUUUUGCGGAGAGGAAACGCUCCCCCGAGGAGCUUUCUAGAAAGCUGCGGGUCGUAUGUAGUAGGAAUUUGCACAAGGUGUGCUAGUAUAAAUUCGCAUACUAAGUAUAGUAAACGUGCAAGAACACAUACGGGAAAUAUCUUUUUAUUCAUCAUUGUAAGUUUACAGAGUACAAUUUCCUGCAGUAUAUAAUAAAUUGUGCCGAGCAGCAGAGAAUCGUGUGGCUUGUGGGUUCCGGGGCCUCGUGAGGCCUCCGGUUAAUUAUAUCUGCAGCAUUGGGUUGCAGAACAUCUCUGAUUAAGCUAUGCCAAUAGUCGUCAUCUCUAAGUAGAAUAAAGUCAUCUCCGAGUAUGCAUAAGCACAAAGAAUAAAUGUGGUGAAGUGCUAGGGCCCCGUCGGCCUCUAGCGAAAGGUAUCCGGCCUCGUCGUGCGGAUCCCAUAAUGAAGUCAAAGUGUUCGGUCUCGUCGGUCGCGAACAAAGUAAUUCCGGCCUCGUCGGUCACGGAAAAGGAAACAUCCUAGCCUCGUCGGUCAGGGAAAAGAGGACUUCACAUGGUUCACCGGUCUUGAUGGUGCGGAACGUGGUUGUUAUGGUGAGUCGUAGACUUGUGCUCAGACUGUACUCAGGAGGUUUCUCCUCAUGUAAACUGCUGAGAUCAUCGGCGGGACACUUAGUCGUAUGCCGGCUCAUACUCUUUGAUGGCAUGCACUUAUGCACUUGUGCUAGCUUUGACCAUACUGUGGGACUUAGAAUAAUUUUACUUGUGUGGUAGCGAUCAACUGGACUGCAGCCGUCAUGGGCCACUUAAUGGGCCGCAUUGAACUGUCAAGGCCAAAUUGGUGCUUGCGUGGCCUAUAGCUGCUGGCUGCUGGUGCUUAUGCACAUUUGCUGGUGCGUAUGUUUACAUGUUUCUUCAUUGUUACACAUGCAUGGAAGUUUGAGGGCGCACAGGGUUGCCGGGGCUCAUCUGUUGUUGCCGGGCCGCUGCCUGGAACGGCCUGUUCGUCGUGGACUGCCACAUGCGUCAUCGCGAUCGAGAAUAAUCACCGGCCGCCGCGCUCGCCGGAGUUGUGCCGGGCUCCUUUACUGCCGUGCCGCUGAGAACGACGUGCUUGUUAUGGCUGCCGCACAUAUCACUGGAAUGGAGUUGUCACCGGCCAUCAUGCUCGCCGCCGAGAAUGACAUGCACGUCACCGGAGAUCUCGCCGGAGUAACACUCGCCGGGCCGCCGCUCGCGGCCGCAGAAAACCAAGUGCUCUUCACAGGUCUGCUGCCCGUUGAGGCGCUGCGUUCUAGUGAACAAAAGUCGUUGCCAGGCGCCGUCGUAUGGAUCGCCGUCGAGGGCGUUUCUCUUGCCGGGCUGCCGUGGCCACAUACAUCAAUGAAAAGGGGGGCGGCCGGCGAGUUCGCCGUCGAGCCGCCGCUAGCUGCAUGACACAUCUUGCAGCACAGGUAUUGUUGCCGGUCGCCGAUCCAGCGAGAUGGCCAGAGACGCGGCCACUCAGGCGCUGGUGUACUCCGCCGCCAUCGACCGUGUGCAGAGAUCGUGAGCCACGCCUGUAACACAUGCUAUGCAACUCGAUUAAACAGAGAUCAUUGAAUUAUAUAAAGACUUCACCUUCGACGUGGGCGGCCAUGGUGGUGUCGAUGUUGCAGUGAGCGGCGACGGUGCCGGGCGGGCUGCUACAAGGAACUGCCCGCGGAUCUCCGGCCGCACUUACCAGAUCACGGCGCCCUCCGGCUGGUGGUGUAGUGUGCUGUGUGUGGAGAAGAGAGUGGAAUGGAGUGGCGGCGUGCGGAUGCAGCAGGGCGGCGGCGUGGUGAAGAAUGGAUGUCCGGCGGCGUGCAGAAGCAGCAGGGCACCGGCGUGGUGAAGAAUGAAUGUCUCUAUGAUGAGAGGGCGAGGGCCUCCUUUUAUAGGCAGGAGGUAUGGUUGCCAGCUGAUGGAGUAAUGGGGCGCCGAGCGCCGCCGCGCUGCCGUUGCAGGGCGAGCGCUUCUCGCGGAUGGCUCCGUGGAUGAAGGACGACCGCGGCGCUGCCAACUUCAAAUUUGAAUUGCAAGUUUUAUCCUCUCGGUACUCUGGCACCUUCCGAGCCCUUUCAAAUGAGACGACUCUUGCAGCUAGUUAACUUAAAUCAGCCCACAACUCUUGCAGCUAGUUAACUUAAAUCAUCAUAGGGCUCAUUGCCGAGUCACCGCCGCUGGGCUUAUCUCUGCAUUCGUUCUGACCAACUGAUCACAACGGGGACCCCAUCCAUGUAACUCAAGUUCAACCAAGCCCAAAAUAUGCAUCAUAAUGUCAUGCUAUUUCAAACUUCUCCAUUAAUUCUGAAUAGACUAUACAAUAUCAUGGCGGUCAAAAUCUCAUCAUACAAUCCCGAAGCUUCCUCUAGGUCUUCCGAAGAUAGUUACAACCCUUUCUCUUUCCUACGUGGCUCUCUUGUAGAGAACUUCUCGACCCCAUUGUGGGUGCUCUAAUGGAAAUGAAAAAUGUUUGUACACUUAUUUCAUAUUGCGGUUUCCAAGAAUGACAUGUCGUCGAAAAAUGUUUGAGUAGAUGAAUAAAACAAGAUCUUCCAAUGGAGAGUUUCAUUUCACAGUUUCAUAGGAUGGACAUACCAGUUAAUUGUGAAGCAUGUCAUUGGGCGUGAUGAAAUGAAAUAAAACUCUCUAGUCCCCAAUGCUAGUUUCAUCAGAUUUCAUAGUCUUGGAAACAAUGUAUGCAGAGCUUCAUCUUAAGACUAUCCCAGUGCAAGGUUUCAUCGCACUGUUUCCAAGGAUGCCACAUCAUCCCAUGAGGUGUAUUCUCAUGAAUGAAACAGAGAGUCCCAGUGCAUAGUUUCAUUUCACGAUUUCAUAGAAUGACCAUGAGAUUUAAUUGUGAGGCAUGUGAUUGGAUAUGGUUAGAUGAAAUGAAACUCUAUAGCCCCCAAUGCAAGUUUUAUAGUCUUGGAAACAGUGUAUACACAGUUUCAUCCUGAUGAAACUCCUUCCCUCUCUCACUUCAUAACUAUCAUGCCAUGUCAUCACAUAUGCUGAUGUGUCACUGUAUUUAAUGUGCAUGAAACCUCUAUGAAACCCCCACUGGGAUUAGCCUAAUGAAAUUCUUUCCCUCUCUCUUCUCAUAAUUAGCAUACCAUGUCAUCAAAAUUGCUGAUGUGUCGUAUCAUUAAAUGAGAAUGAAACUCUUACGCUACCCCACGAUAGCCUAAGAACAACCUAAAAGCUCCUGCACCACGGAGGGCUGUCUAGUGACGUCGAAUUUUCAAUUAUGAAUGCUCACCAAGAAUAUAGUACGCGCAAAAUAAGGAGCAAAAACCGGGCCAACGUCCAAAUGGAGUAUUAACUAAACUAAUGCAUGCUGUCUCACAUUAAAAUAAUCUAUCCAAAUUCCAUACAUUUUUUAAUAUUUAAGUUAACCCUUUCUUCAUUGCAAAUAUACUUUUGUGGACAUCCUCGCCAAUUAUCUCACUCAUAAGCAUAUUCAUGUUUGCAUAUUUGGUGACGGCAAAUGUUAUUAGAAAUCGCCACAGAUGAGAGUUUGAAGACGCUACUAGUAAAGUGCUAUGUUGGAUGUAACACCAGCUAUGGUCAUGGGUAGUAUAGACACCAAAAUACAGCAAUCUCAAUAGUGAACAACAAUGAAACAAAACAGAAAUAAACCUUACACUCUUGAAAACAAUGAAGAGUAUAUAUAUCGCCGAAGCAGACACUUUACGCUCCCCUGGCAACGACGACGAACCAUAUAAUAUUUUCAAUAUAUAGUAGAUAAUAUAUCCCCUUUUCACAAUGUUUGCGCUUAACCAACCCACAAAGAUCAGAGGCUCUGAAUCUAAGAAAAUCUGAUAUUGUAAAAUGGAUGGAGUAUUAAUUGAUGAACUAUUCACCCCAAAAAUAUGUGCAUACAACAAUGUCGCAGUAUGCACAAUAAGAUCAUGAUGAACAGUGACACAUGAUAUUGGUGCAUAAAUAAAUAUAUUUUAAUGCAUAUUGACCUCCAAACUUGCAGAAUUGGGAAUGCAUUCAAAUCCAUGACCACAUGCUAAGUUUCAUAUACAUCCAUGUUUUCCCAAUGCAUCACAGUGUGCAUGUAGUUUAUUUCCUGUGUUGCUGUUGUGAUAAUGCAGAGCUGACACGGCCAAUGAUCUCCUCCGCUGUGACAAUGAAUGUCGCCUCCACCUGGAAUUAACCAACAGUCAGUCCAUCCUUUUCCCUAAAAAAAUGUUGACCUGAAACAAGGGCAAAACAAAUAGAGAAUAGUACAUAUGAUGUGAAAAGAUUAAUUAAGAGCCCACAGGUCUGAGAUGUCCUAUGAAUUCUUGGAGAUAGAAAUACCCAGCUCUAAGAAUUCUUGGAGCUGGAAAGCACUCUUAGUCAUGAUAUCUCAUCGGUGUGAUAGUCCUUGUUUCAUGUCGUACCAGUUUCAGUGUUUAUAAGAAUGUAUAGAUCAAUACAAGGAGUUCAAGACUUCGAAACAAGUCCUACUAUAUACAACAACUCAUAUUUUCUCUCUUCCAACCUCAAAAGCACACAUAUAAUUCAUUUAACUGCUAAGUGAGCAUUUGCCAUUUGGAGUAGCACUUCUUGACAAAAUAAAAAUAUAAUGAAUAUGCUCUUACUUUUUCUUUAAAUUGAAUUCCGAAACAUGGAAUAUGUAUAAGCGAAAUGGGUGAAUAAUAGCACUAACAACUAAUUUGCAUUAUCCUGACGACUUGACCAUUAUCUUCGACUGAUUGUUUGCGAUUUCUAAUCAGCAUAGCUUUUUUUUUUAAUUAUUCAGUCCAUGAAGAAAAAAAGGGCCCAUCAGAAUAAAGUUCUUAAGAAAUGCAUCAUAGUACAACUAUGAUGGUACAUCCAAAUAGUAAGCACACACUAAAAUUCCAAAAAGACCGCCAGCUAGUCAAAUUGGAGAGAGAGAAACAAAGAAAGACCUACCUUUGCCGUGAUGGUUAUGUUUAGAGCGCAAGCCGGGAACGGAAUGACACUGGCAUCAACGAUGCUGAGGUGGAGAUCCUCGACCUCCGCGAGCACCCUCGCAACCACCCCCUUGCCGUUCUCGCAGAGGACCCGGACCAUGACAUUGUUCCCGGAGAGCUGCACGUCGAUCUCUGGCAGCGGUUUCCUCACAGCCGCCGGCGCCCACAACGGCGCCCCCUCGUCGUCUGGCGGGGCAUAGCAUUGCCUCUUAACCAGAACCACAGUCCCGGAGCUCCUGAUGACCACGCCGCCGGCGUCCCGGGCGUUCAGCUUUUCUCGGAGCUCCUUCACGUACCUCGUCGCGUCGGAGAGGAUCGUCGCCUUGUCCAUCUGAGAUCACAAUCACAACACAAGUUAAUUAGCCUUCAAUUACUGUGAAACUGCAACCUCUGUCAGGGACUCAAGAUCGGACCUUCUUGAGGCCGGGGAUGACGGCGGAGAGCUCGACGAAGCGCUGGUUGAUUUUCUCCCUCCGCUUCCGCUCCGCGAUGAUGUGGUCGUGUGCGUACGGCGCCGACGACGUAGGCGUGGAUCCCGUGCUCUUGAGGCCGGCUCUCCUUAUCAGCGGCAUCGGGGAUCCGUAUGCCGCCAGCUCCGGCAAGCCUCGUUUGGUAGUGAAAAUGGGUGUCUCCGGCGUGCCGUCGCUGGCAAGCUCUGCCGAGACGGCGCUGAAGUUCCAGUUCACGGGAAGGUUGUUGGUGCCACUGCCACUACUGCCGCCGGUCGGGGCGGCGUGCCAGGCAGAGUUUGUCAAGACAUGGCCGCCGCGGGUGGUGGUGUCGCGGGAGCUCCAGCCUGUUGCUGCUGCGUGUGCGUGGGCUGCCGUGAUCAGCGACUCCUGGACCGUCUCAGCUGCAUAAGAGGCUUCGGGAAGCGGUUGGAGCGACGGGGAGGUUGCCUCGUCGACGACGGCGGGCGCCGGGUGCUCGUGCUGCAGCGUGUUCAUCGCCCACUGCAUGAACAGGAUCGAGUCCUCCAUGUAUUUCGUGGUGUUCAAAGAUGUAUAGGGGGGAUCUCUCCUUUUAUAGUGAGCGCCACCGCGCACUGCUGCUCCUGUACUGUCGAUCUCUGUCAUGUUUAGCCACCUGAUCGAGGACCCUCCAUAUCCAAAAGCUACGAAAAAGAAUACAAAUACCCUUGGAUUCUGGUUAUGUGGCCAAAAUCCAGUGAUAAUGAUGUUUUGUACCUCCACAUAAAGGUGAUAAAUGAGGUAAUAUAAAAUACAACGUACAAUAUAAUUCAGGAUUUGCUGAUUUGCCGUCCCAUCCGAAUCAAGAUCAGGUGAGCUCUAUAUGUUUGGACAGGCUAUAGCUAGGCCAUACAUAGAUCGAUCAGUAAUACCUACUACUCUUUUUGUGUAACUCCAAUCAUGCUGCCAAUCAACCUGCGUAGAUCAUAAUCGAACUCUGACUGAAAAAAAACACACAACAGGUCAGUUCAUUAAAAGUAGAAAAGCAUGCUGAAUAGAUUACAACAGAGUAAGCUCCGUGGGUGCACUGGAGAUACCGGAUACGAGGACCGGACUUGUAUCUACAUCAAUGGCUAGUUUGAAUAGUGAUGUUAGUAUGCCUAUACAGUAAGCUCCAAUGGUCGUUUUUUAACUGCACUCGAGCAUCCAGUGCGUGUAAAAAUCGCCAGAAUUACCGUAUAGGCGUAUACAUACCCCACCUCAUUCAUUUGAGCUCUCUUACCAUUUGGUGGUUUCAUUUCACUCUGGAUAAUUAACAUGGCAGUUUUGGAAAUGAAACUUGCUACAAAAAUGAUAAAGAUAAUUAAAACUGCCUUUCCGUGUAAAGCGAUGGCUGUUUUGUCUGCAGCUAAAAGUUUACUCCCUUGAAUUAAGCAGCAUUGCCAGCUAGCUGAUGGACGCCUCCAAUAUCUCUUCCAGUGGUUGGGUGUGCCCGUAUUUUUUAUGGUUGCGACGAACACCUGAAGAUGUCGAAACUGUUUGCUCUGACGCAUACAUAGCACACUAUGCAGAAUGCGGCUGUCAUGGGCUUCUCGCUUUUACGUGUAGGGGAUGGUGCAAUUGUCACCAUCUCCAUAUCUAAUUGAGAUCCUAUCGAAUUGUCACCAUCUCCAUAUCUAAUUGUGCUGACUUUCUGAAUUCAAGAUCUAUCAGUCCACUUUCUUGGAGGUGUUCGUGGGGUAAAGUCUGUGUGCUUGCGUGUUCUCGUAAUGGCAAGGGGACAUGUAUAUAUCAAUUAAAAAGCACGCACAUGUGUACUAUGUUUUGGAAUGAAAAAAAGGGUAUGCCACAUACAUACAUGAUUUUAUAAAAAAAAUAUCAGCUCAAAUGCAUGAGAAAUGCUCUGAUACUUCACCAAGCACAUAUAAUUGGUAAAUUGAGGCGUACAUGUAUGGAGAAAGCACACUAGAUCAGGGUUCGGGAUUACGGUCGAAAUUUGCCAAUAAUUACAGUGAUCAAUCAUGGGGUCGCGCUGGUAGCGCAAUUGGGGAUGGAUCUCUGAGUCUCUGACAUCGGUGGCCUGAACUCCCGCUCAGGCUAUUGCAAUUGGAAAUGGUUGCAUCAGCAUUCAGCUAUGCUGCAUGAGCGAACUUCUAGUCUGAAUAUGGAUAUGCUACAGCCUGCAUGAGCUUAAGAUAAUAAAUUGGGCCAAUUAUUUCACCUAAGAGCAUAGUCGUCACUGCCACACUGGUACUACUAUAGAGUAGUUCUCCGUAGAUUCUCAAUGCAUGGCUUCAAUCAGAAACCCGAAAUUAAGCUCCAACUCCAACGCGUGAUCAAUAUAUGGCGACGGUGAGCAAGCCAAAUUUGAUUUCCUUGGCACUGCGUUCAUGGGAAGCGGUGGCGCCGGCCGGCAGCGUUACGGCAGACUCUCGCUGCACGCGGCAUUUGGACGAACACCUUCCGCCCGCUCUACUGUAAGCCGGAGCUGGCGCAGGCGGACAGGCCGGCCGUGCCUUUUCCACCGUCACGCCGCGGGAACGGCGUCUCCGCUAGUGCUCCUCGUGCUCUGCUACUCCGGCCAGCGGCCAGAACUUGCGCCGGGCUAGCCGUGUGCUAGCUACGUUGCACACGUCGCCAAUGUCCCGCCUCUCGACAGCGCGUAAGUGUCCCGUGCAGCAGAGAUCGAGGAGUACCGGGUAAAGGAGUGGGGCCGGCGGAGCUCCGACGAGCAAAGCGAUUGUAGACGGCUGUCGAGAGCGAGGAAGGGACUCUUGCGAUUCGGUCAUCGUGGACCGCAGAAGCUCGAUCUGACGACCAGUAGGCACCCAAGGGUAGACGGUAUUUGAAAUACCGUCCACCCGGUCAGUUUCUGAAACACCGUCCGUCCCCUGGGUCGGCAGGACGCUGUCUCCGCCGCACGCCGUGGUUCGCCCGGCCGCCGGCGAGUGCCGAUGGCGCUCGAUCCGGACUUCCAUUGAAGCUAGAGGUGCGCAACGAUGGCGGCGGCCUGCCCUCGCUCCCGGACGACGCGCUGCGCGAGAUCCUUAUCUGCGCCUGCCGGCCCGGCUGCUCUGCCGCGCCCGCCCCGUGUGCGAGAACUGGCGGCUGGUGGCGACCGCCGCUACGAGCCUGCGACCUCCGCCUUGUGUUAUUACUACUCCCGCGGCGAACCACUUCGUAUUGAAAUCUAAAUGGUUAUUUCUAUCUUCCGGUAGCUAACCAAGGUCAUAUUUGUUUGAGCUUUAGCUUUCCAAACUUUCCAGAAAGCUAGCUUUUGGCUUUUGCUCCUUAGAAAGGUGGCUUUUCGAAAGCUGCCUUUUGGAAAGCUAACACCGUUUGGCAACCUAGCUUUUGAAAUGGUGGGAUGGAGUGUUUCUAAAUUUUAUAGGAUCACCAAGGGACCUAAUCGCAAAACGCUCGGUGACGUCUAAUGGCCAUGGCGGUCAGGCGGCAUUGGGCGAUUAAAUUGUCGGCGAUUAGGGGGCUACAGGUUCCGACAGGUGGUGCAUCAGGAGAGGAGUAACAGGGGAUCUUGUGGAAGUGCUCACCGAGGUGGGAGACUCACAUAGAUGGCUGGAAUCGGUGGCAUGCGGUGAAGACAGCGGCCGGCUCAAACUUCAUGCGGCGGGGCUCCUCCAGUGGCGAAUCGAUGGCGUCGACUGGCGGAGCAGGUGCAGCUCGGCUUCAAGAAGCUUGCAAAGUCUUCUUCUGGCUCAGACGGGCGGCGGUCGCAGUGAAUUGGCCAAGCGAGCUCCGGCGGCGCUUGGCUCUGAUCCGGCGCGGUCCUUCAUGGAUGGCUGCACUCCAGCGAUGGAGAGACGUCAAGGACCAACUGUGGGGCUUCAGCUUGGUGCGGAGAUCGUCGUGGUGAUGGCCGUUUGCUCGUAGGAAGAGGGGUGCGCGCCGGUCAUGGCUCGGGCGCCAGAGGAGAGGGAGACGGCGCAGAUGGAGAUGGAGCUGAGGAAAGAAAAAUGAUUGGUUCGCAAUAUAAACGAUGGCAGGUGGGUAAUUUUCACGAUGAAAACUGUGGAAAGCUCACAUUUCACUGCUUCUAGGCUUUCCACGUAAUCAUAGUUUCUGUGGGGUUUUAGUUUUCGAAAAGUUCAGAAGGUGACCGUUUGUUUGAGAGUUCAGCUUCUUAGGGUGGAAAACUGCUGACACGGCGAAGUUGCAUACCAUUGUCAGCCGCCUCAGGCUCCAGAGCUCCGCGACCGUCCACGGCAACCUGCACUGGCGGUGUCCGGGAUUCACAGGCCGCGGUCACCGGUCAGGCGAAGUUUCUGGUUUUCGGCCUUGCCCUGCCCCGGCUGCACGGGGCCGGAGCGAUCGUGCUGCAAUUGUUAACUUCUCCCAGGGUGGGUGUCCAUCUCUGCAAGCAAAAAGAAGUUCCCGAAUCAGACACGUUGAUUACGAAACAACCAACAAAAGAGCAAGCCGAAAAUGGAACGGAUUCCAUCAAAGAGAGAAAGAGCAAGUCGACAACUGAACGGAUUCCAUCUUGGGACGAAGCAACGAUAAAACCUGGCUUUUGCAGCGGGAACAACAGAAACACUUCCCUGUCAAGGAUCGAACCAAUGGAGGAUGUUAGCGUGGGCACCAACGGCGGUGGUGUGCCCGCGCUCCCGGACGACGUGCACCGCGAGAUCUUCUUCCGCCUGCCGGCCCGGUGCCUCUGCCGUGCCCGCGCCGUGUGCAGGUCCUGGCGCGACCUCGCCUCGGAGCCCAGCUUCCUCCGCGCCCACGCCGCCCGCACGGCCGCCUCGCCCUUCCUCCUCACCUGGUCGGACACGGUCACCAAACGAGACAACACGAGGGACUGCACCGUCCACCUCCGCAUCCACCAGGAUCAGGACGACCGAGGCCGUCGCACCGGAGACCGCCCUUCCGCUGCCGCCGGUGACGACGACGGCGACCAUGGCCACCGAUCCCGCUGCUGCGACCUCCGCCUCGUCCUCACCGCCCGUUACCCGAGCAUCUCCGGCGCGAUGAGAUCGUGGGACGGGAUCCUGUGCGUGGAAAUGUGGGUGAGGCCGCAGCCGCCGCCGUUCGUCGCAGAGCAUGUCCCCUGCUCGUACCUGCUCCUCAACCCGAUCUCCAGGGCAUGCACUGUCGCCUCCGCCCCUACACUGCGUGUCGGUGAGCCCGGCGGCCGUCUCGACCGGGGCUACAUCGCCGGCGCCUACUCGCACCCCGUCACGGGCGUCUUCCACCUCCUGCACUCGUCGUCGUCGGGGAGCGCCGUGGCCGGCUGCGGCGGCGAGCAGCAGACGACGCCUCGCUUCCGGCUUCAAACGGUUGACUCCCCCGACGCGACCUGGCGUGAGGUCCCGAUGUCCGGCGACGCCGGCACGGCCAUGCUGCAGACCGUCGUCGGCCGCCUCAGGCUCCAGAGCUCCGUGACCGUGCACGGUCGCCUGCACUGGCGAGUGGCGCGGUCACAGACACGGCCUCGCCAUGACAAGGAGGAGCUGCUGGUUUUCCACGCCGCCGACGAGGAGUUCGGCCGCAUGGCCCUGCCGCGGCUGCACGAGGCCGGGGCUGUCAAGCAGCAGGCCAUCAGCACGCUGGCGGGCAAGCUGUGCCUCCUCGCCGGCCUAGCGUCGUCGUCGACGGCGGUGGAGGUGUGGGUGGUGGAGGACUACGACGCCCAGGAUUGGCGGCUGAGGCACGUGAUCCAUGCGAACCGGCCGUCGCCGCUCCAUAUUGUCCAUGUCUUGGACAGCGCGCUUGGGAACGUCGGGCUGUUGGUGGGGGGCGUCAGGGGUGAUGAAGUGGAGGAGAUUCUAUUCUACAACUGUUUGCAGAAGGCUUACAAUGUCCGGCCUGGGUCAUCGUCUACGUCCGUCAGGCAAUGUCAGGGGCUAGCAGUUCACGAGCAGAGCCUCCUGCCGCACAACGUCAUCUUUGGAACAAUGCCACGGGUUCAGGGCAUCGCCUUCUUAGAUUGUCCCAACAAUGGGGGCAAGCAGGUGCAGCUAUAACGUCAUCAUGAUUCACAAGUGUGUUCUCGAUCGUUUCCUCUUAGGCUCUUACCCAGCUUCUGAAACACCCGGGCGAGAUUUAGGGGUGUUUGGUUGGUCACAUCGCAUAUUUAGAUACUAAUUAGAAGUAUUAAAUGUAGGUUAAUUACAAAACCAAUUGUAUAAAUGAAGGUUAAUUCGUGAGACGAAUCUAUUAAGCCUAAUUAAUCCAUGAUUAGCACAUAUUUAUUGUAGCAUCACAUGGUCAAAUCAUGAAUUAAUUAGGUCUAAUAAAUUCAUCAAGCGAAUUAGACUUCAUUUAUGCAAUUGGUUUUGUAAUUAGUAUCUAAAUAUUUGAUGUGUCAUGGACUAAACUUUAGUCCCUCAAACCAAACAACCCGCUAGCAAUCCCUUUUCAAUGUGACGAGAAGAUUGAGAAAGAGAAGAAGAAGGGGAUUACUACCUGAGACCCAGCAGCUGAUAAAGCUGAACAUGGUGAUAUCCAUAUUUCUCCUUCUGAUGAAUAUUAGGACAAUACUUUUAUUUCAAAUGGUUGUCUUUUUUGUCAUGUUUCAUCUCUUCUUCAUUUUAUAUGUUUCCGUCCAUGUGAUCAGCUUAGGUAUAUAUAUACAAUGAAAAUUUAAGAAUCAAUAGUUUCUGUUGUUUAAAAAAAAGUUUUGUGAGAUGACUGGAAUCUUAACAUUUAAAAAUUGCAAGUUAUUAGUUUUUACGGUAACCGCUCAACGAUCGUGCGUCCGAUGAAGCUAAUAAAAUCGGACGCUACGUGGCCGCACGACAUCCACAUCUACUCAUUAGAUAUUUUCCCAACGUCUCACCGUUCAUUCUUCUCAUCACAUCAUAUCUAUGCUCUCUCUCACCUAUUCCAACACAGCAGAGACGGAGACUAUGGUGCUGCCGGCCCACUGCACAGCUCCUCCCUAGCUAUCUCCAAUCCGCUUCCCGCUACUCCGGGCCACCCCCUCCUCCCUCUGGUGAUGCUAGUUCGCUCCUCAUCAUCUGGCUAGUCGCCGUUAUCAAUCCCCACGAGGUGUGUGGCACCAGGCGAGGUGCUACGAUCCCAUCCAGACGGGCGACAUAUGUUGACUCUUGCAACCACUCCUCGAUGGCCCCAUGCUCUUGCAAGGCAGCCGGUGGGGGGAAGUCGCUGACGACCUCGUUCCCCUUCCUGCUUGCCUCUAGCUAUCUGGGAUUUGUGAUGUUUUGAUAUUCGUUUUCGUUCGGAUUUGCAAAGGUGGAUUUGAUAUGUUGUAUGGGGAUUGUGAUGAUAGUAGAAGUACAUUUUCUUAGCUUUUUUCGAUUUUGAACAGAUUAUUUGGGAUGUUGAGAUUGUAUUAUGUGCGUGUUGCAAUAGGAGUUUUGACUUGUUGCAUCAUGACUUUUCGAUAGCUGUGGCUAAUGUUGUGGUUUAUAUAUAGGAGCAAAACUCGAUUUGUAUGAUCUGAAGUCAUCUCAUGCUAUUUUUUUUGGUGCGAUAGUUCAAAGAGUGAAGAUCAUUCACAAAAUCAGAUGCAGGUGAACUAUUUUUGUGUGUAUAAUUUUGAUGUUUCAAAUGUUUAAUUCUAAUGUUGCAUAUGUCACUUUUUGAUGUUUCAAACAUUGUUUAUGCUCUCAGUGGAUGUUGUGUGAAACAUGUUGUUAUGUUGCGGUGGGAAGUUUUCCAUCUCAGAAUUGCAUAACACAGUCAUUUUUAUACAUGGUUAUUAUGUUGCACACAGUAAUUUUUUAUGUCGCAGUUGUUGCCUUAAAAUGUUUUGACGGAGUGUCUGAUGGGAAAUUUUCCAUCGGACAUCUGCUAGUAGCUUCGUAGUUUGUAAUAGAUUCGAUGUGCACCUGUAUGUAAGUGUAUCUAUGUAGCAAAACAAGGAAAUCAAGUUUUUUUUUAUCAAUGGAAGAUAAAGUCUCUACCUGUUGAGGGGUCCUGUAUGUAAGUGUAUCUAUGUAGCAAAAUAAGGAAAUCAAGUUUUUUUUAUCAAUGGAAGAUAAAGUCUCUACCUGUUGAGGGGUAUAUGUGCAACGAAUUGACUUCUAAUAGAGUAUGGCAACUUUCCUGUUUUACAGGGGUUAUUAUCUCUGCGUUGAAGUUUUUCUCAAACACGCAGGAGAGUUGCGUAUCUUUGAUUAAGAGAGAAUAAAGGUCCAAAUUAUAGGACAUCACCCCACCUUGAACCAGGAUGAGGGAUGUAAACCAUUGGCACUACUCUUACGUAAAAAAAAAAGACCUGACCGGACUAAACCCCUGUUUUAAACUCCAGAUCACCACCCUUUCUAGGUGCAGAGCAGUGAGCCCCUUGGCUCCAGCUACCUGCCACAAAUGUGCUUCAUCUAUGAAGGCCUGAAGAGCUCCAUGUAGAUUUGGAGCAGAUGCAUCAAAGACACAAGCAUUGUGAUGUUUCCAGAGGAUCCAUGAUCCCAAAGCAUCUCUGCGUUGAAGUUACCCAAAUGAUCGGGCUCAGUUUAACUGAAUCUGGCCCAAACAAAUGUAUGAGGCCGAAGCGGCAACAAAUUUUGGUCGAGAUCAAAUUGAUCACUCCUUUCCCAGAAAAUACUACUCCCUCUGUUCUAAAUUGUAUGCCGUUUUAAUUUUUCAGAUAGAUAUAUUUUAUUAUGCAUUUAGAUAUAAUAUAUAUAUAGAUGUGUAGAAAAAAUGUAUCUACAAAAGUCAAAACAACCUACAAAUACAAUUUGAAUGAAGGACAUCUACACCGAAGAUCUGUUUUAGACAAUGCUAGCCAAAACAUUGCUCUUAGUUCACGUGAAUAUGCGAUAUAAUAUGAAGUUGGAACAUUGGCAUACAUUACAUAGUAUUAUUUUACCAUUUAUUCACGCUCUUAUGCGAAUGUUUCCAACUUUUUUCUGCGUGAAAUGACGUCCUUGCCGUAUCACCAACUACAAUGGCGAACACAUCACCGAACAGUGAGAGGACAGUACUAAAACGGAUUGAGAGGACAGUACUAGUCAUUUGAUCAUAGGCAGCAACAGCAACAAUAUUCGUAUUUAAAGUUUAAAGCCUGCUUACAUGGAACAAGAUUAUUCAUCGCAAUGGAAGUGUCAAGUUUACACGGCUGUCUUAAACACACCAACAAGCUGAGGUAAUUACACGUACAUAACAGCUUAGCUACCACGGUAAGUGGUGAAGGAGAAAGGGGAAUGCAAGAGAGGAACAUGGAAGUGCUCUGCCGUCUGGUUCUCUUUGAUCUCAAAUAUGAUGCUGACAUAAGGGAAGAACCCUGCAGGCGCAUACUUGCCAGUGUUGAAGCUUAUGCGGUAGAAACCAGGAGCGGCAUUGUCAACAAUGUCCAUCAGCUGACCGCUGCGGCCAUCAUUGUUUGUAACUGAAGUGCCAAGAGUUGCCCAUCCACUGAAAUCUUUGUUGCUGAACGACGGAGGAGCUGAAACAUCCUUCCACAUCUCCAGAUGAACUUCGAUUCCAGAAGCAGGGGAUCCACAGGCAACAUCCAGCACAUGGGUUGUAAUGGGGGGCCGACUUCGGUUGGAGCUACCUGUAAUUUCAGGAGCUUUAUUGGCACAAGGCUGGGGGAGAGCUCCAAGAUGUGCUCCAAUAAUCCGUAUGCGAUCUUUUGAAAAUUUAGUUGAUGAGAAGCAGAAUAAACCAAAUUGUAUAUGUAUGCAAAAUAAUUAAACCCAAGAGGAAAAAUGUUUUUCUAUGCUAGCAAAGCGCAUGAAGCAAUGAGAAUGAUAAUGAAAGUACGGAUUCUGAUUAUGGUAGUAUGACUGUAAACUAGAUGAAAUCAAUGCUCCCAAACAGCACACCCAUUCAGUAACACCAGCUCAUUUGUUUAUAUAUUGCUGUGAACUAUUUUGUUCUUGUUUCAAAAAUGUUUCUUGCAAGAUAUGUUAAGUCUUUGUAGAUGCAUUAUUGUUAGUAUUCUAUUUCUAUUAUUGAGAGAAAAUUCAUUAGACUAUUUAAAUUAACAAAGUGGGUAACAAUAAGAAGAUCUUAGCACUAACUCCAUGGACAUAUUCAUUUUCAGCACUAUGCAGUAUUUCGUAAACUGUGAUUGUUAAUCAAAAUAGAUCACAAAUGGUCAAUGCCCUAGCAUUUGGAGGGGGAGAACAAAUGCCAAGUUCAGCUGCUCAAGCACGGGGUACAUGAUAUUGAUAUGAAUGAAAUAACAGAUCUUCCGGAUAAGGAAGAAUCAAACAGAUUCAACGGUGUUUCUAGUAUACCACUGUAUGCAAGGUGUGGGCCUGUGAGCAUAAGAUGGCUUGCAUACAGAAUUACAGAUAUGUGAUAGAUACAACAAUACUGCACAAACAAAUAAUGUGAAAAGGCAGACUUUCUGUAGAACCUAGAAACAGAUAGAAUGGAAUUGAUACCUGCUGCUUUAUCUGAUUGGAUGUUGGGGGCUUUAGUAGUAGUAGAGGGAACAGUCGGCUCUGAUGAGAAAAGCUUUGCAAGACGCAGUUCAGUUAUCUUAAGUUCUUCCUGUGCUGCAGCCUCAAGUUCAACAAUUGGCCUAUUCACAUAACGUCUCUGAAAUAGCAGCAGGACAAUAUGAAGGUGAUUACAAUGAAAGAAAUAAAAAACUGCAUACAUUCUUUAAGUUAAUCCUUCAGCGAUGGACCAUGAUAUUACCAACACAGUGAAGCAUACCAAAGCAAUCAUUAAACAUAAAAAACCUGUCAGAGUCAAAAGCAAUAUCGUUCUAGCUUUUAGUUUGGAUAAGAAGAUUUCAGAUUCAUCGAGUCUUUUAUUUUCAAAGAUUACAGAUAUGUGCAGAAAUGGUCCUGAUUAUACUUUGGGUUUCAACUUGGUAUUUCCAGAGGACUUAUCAAAAAUCGAAACACUGAAUCUGGAGGACCAUACCAGAAAUUUGUAGCACAAAUAUCUACUGUGGAAAACAAACACUGGAAUCUGAAAGAUUGAGGUGAUGUGUGCAGACCUUAAGCUCAGCCAAGACUUCAGGUGCAGUCCUCCCAGACGCGCAAAUCAUGAACACGAAGCCGAAUUUCUCCCUGUACUUGGCAUUCCACUCUGCCAGCUCCUGCAGCAGGUGGAGAAAGCAAAUUAAGUCCAGAGAUCAUAUACGAUAGUACAAGGAAACCAAAGAGCUGAUGUAAAAGGCACCUGGGAAGUCGAAUCUGUGGCUGUGGAGAUAGCUGCCGAUUGUUCUUCCUUGCUCCACCUAAACCAAAAAGCUAACAGAGAUUACCAACACAGAGACUGGUGCCAUUUUGUUUGUCCUUAGUCAUGUCGAGUGAAAGAAUCCAUCAGUUCAAUUUCCGCGUUUUAAUGCUUUGGAUUCAACAUAACGCGCAAGCAUGUCAUGUACUUGUUUUCAUGCCUUAUAUAGGAGUAAUUAUUAGUACGCCGGUUAAAAGAUACACACAGCCACAGUUACUUGAGCUUCGAACGAUCAACAACAGAAAGACGAGAACUGAAAGUAAACAGUGGGAUUGCGUGGACAGGAGGGGGAGGAGGGAUGCACUCCACCGACUUGGAGACGGAGGGGGAGGUGGUUCCGAUUGCCGGGUGCGCCGCGAAGGCCUCGAGCCAUCCGUUGACAUCGACCUUGAUCCGAUGGAGCGAUGAGCCGCGCGCGCACAGAGGCAGCGAAGCAUCAUCAGUACACGGAGAGAAGAUGGCCUGGUGGGAAGGAUUUCAAGUAGGAAGGGGGUGGAGGCCAAGGCGAAGGCGAGUAGGCGACCCACCUCGUUGAGCCAGAUGCGGCGGGCGGCGAGGAGGGCGUCGGCGAGGGAGGUGAAGGGGGAGGCGGCCGCCAUCGCGGCGGCGAAGCGGCGGCUGCCGUUGACGCGCAGCACGUCCUCCACGGUGAGAGGCGUCGGCGUCGCCAUCUCGCCGGCGGCCAAUUCGACAGCGCGCGUGGGCGUGAGGGGAUGCGGUGGAGGUGGUUCUGGUCAGUCGGGCCUCGUGACUGAUCCCGCGAGGUGGCUUUGCUUGCUCUCCUUUCCGUUCGUUUAAGGGAAGCUAAUCCGAUGAGAUCACACGCACUACGACUGUUGAGAGAGCACGUUGAGCUCGAAAAUUUCUGAGUUAGUGCGAAGACGCGCGGAUCUGGCAGAAAAACGUCAGUGGAAAACGAAUCUAAUCAAAUUUCCGUAUUUUCGUCCCGUUUAACCAACGAGUAAAUGAUAUGAUUUUACUCUUCAUUUUUAAAGCGCUGAUCAAACAAAUCUCAUCUCAGGUUUACUCAGGUCGUCAUAUACCACUUGACGUAGGGGCGGGUUAGUGAUGACAUGCUAUUGGCAUAUCCGCAUAUGAACUGAAAAUGUAAAACGUGAAGAUAAUGCGAAGCACCUGCAUGAGAUAUGCAGGGAAAAUGGCGAAGAAAUACACGCACUGUAACGCAGUACUUGACAUUAACGAACGAUCAGCCACAGCACAAAUGUCACAAACUGUCAACGCGGCACCAACAUUAGACGAUUUAAGUAUUCGACCCUAGUAAUAACACCAACAAGGUAGUAGCAAACAGCAGAAGAGAAACUUAUGAUCCACAGAACAAGCCCUACUCAGAUGUCCGGAACAUGGCCCCACAUUAAGCCACUACUACGACACGAGAUUCUUCAUUUUGUCACAAUGAUUGAGGGGAUUAAGCCCUCUCGCCA